This is a non-coding RNA of Lolium perenne, 4377 nucleotides long. NCBI's taxonomy places the organism in Eukaryota, Viridiplantae, Streptophyta, Magnoliopsida, Poales, Poaceae. The record is from RefSeq and is a predicted model, not a curated record.
UUAAAUGGCUAGAGGUGGUGAGAUGGUUGGUACGUCCACCUGUGUGUCUUCCUUCCCGCGAAUACAUGAAUGGCCAGGCCCAUCAUAUCGCUUCGCACCCACGAUUACCCCGCCCACAACUGUCAGACACGUUCUCUGUUCAGUUCACCGCCCCAAGCCCGAUCUCCCUCUCGAGCACCCGUCCCUAUGGCCGCCGACACACCACCUCCCCUUGCGCUGUGGUAAGGGCAUCUCCAGCGGCGCGACGCAAACGGUCGCUGAGCGACCGUUUUCGUCCGCCGUGACCGGAAAUGCGUCUGGGGCCUGUUCCAGCGGGGCGACGCAAAGUGACCGGGCCGUCCGCGGAGACGUAAACCUGGCCCAAAUAUGUGCCAGGUUUGCGUCGCGGCGGACGCUCGGCGGUCGCUCCGAGUGUCCGCCGAAAAAGACGUAGGACCCGCGCGUCAGUGGCUGGAGGGCGAUAUUAUUCCCGCCACUGGCCAUUCCCCCGCGCUAAAUUGGAAACUAGACCGGCGCGAGCAGCCCAGAAGCGAUGGACGUCCUCACCGCCGCAGCUACCGCCAUGGAUGCGGAGCAAACCCUCGCACCCGCCGCCGCCCCACACUCCCCCGUAGGCCAUAGCCACAAUGGACACUGCAGCUCCGGCGGAAGCAAAGCGGGCCGCCGAUGGUGGCGGCCGGGAGGCAAAGCCGAAGGCGGCAAAGAAGGUGCUCUCCGCGGAGGAGAAAGUCCUGGAGGCCGCGAAGCGUCGCGGGCGGCGCAAGAACCAGAAGAUCAAGACUGCCGCGGCCGCCAACCAGCAGACCUGGCAGAUGCAGAUCAAAGCCGGCGUCGCGCAAGUAGCCCUCCAUCCGACCUUAGCGGAGGGCUACAUGAUCGUCAAGAGAGAGGGGAUCGCCGGCGUCGCUCCUCCGGCCUCUUCGGUCAGCUCGGUAAGUUCCCAGCUGCGCCCUGGAACUCCCGCUCCCUUGCAGGGCCACGCGGCGUCGCGGUUCGCCUCCGGCCUGCCGCCGGUGAAGUUGACCGGGGCGGCGGUUCCCGACCUCAACCGGACGCCUAGAAGCGGUGACUCCUGCCCGGGCGCGACACAGAAGACGCGCCAGGUGCCGGAGGAGAGCAUGCCGCAGCCCCGCAUCCUGUUCGACGAAAUGGCGCCGCCUGCCCCGACGAUGGACGACCCGGUACGUGAGCUCUGUCAAUGUGUGCGAGUGCCCUGUAUCAUGCGUCUGAUGUCCGGUCGUUCGUAGGACUAUUGGAAGGACCGCCAUGAUUCAGACAUCCAGGAAAUUAUCCACGACGGCGGCUUCGUUCGCAAUGAUCGGGCCUGGACAGGCGCGCAUGAUGCGGGGGACAUCGAGACCGCACGGCUGUUCGGCACCCAACAAACGCAAGAUGCGGAGGACAUCGAGACCGCACGGCUGUUCGGCACCCAGCAGACGCAGCCAACACCCGUGUGCGUGGACGACUUCGAUGACGCGCCAACACAGCCUAUCCCCACGGACAUUGCCACCAAAAAGAAGGAGGAGAGCCGCAGGACACAAGGCUUCGUCGACGACGAGGACAAGUGUUUGUGUGAAGCGUGGCUGGCAACGACCCAAGAUUGUAUCAAUGGCGCCCAGCAAAAGGGCAAGGUCUAUUGGGCCAAGGUCUUGCAGCAGUACAACGAGACCAGGAUGCACCCGCCCUACCAUAUCACAGGCCCUCGGACGGAAGAGUCCCUCCGGAAAAGAUGGAACUACAUCAAACAAGAGACUGCCAAGUUCUGCUCGGCGGUCGAACAUGCUAUUAACAACCCCGUAAGAGGCACUGGUGUCAUGACAGUGGUAAACACGAUACGACCAUCAUCAUUCUACACAAUUUGCGUCAUUGCAUCAAUUUGCGUCAUUGUACAUCAUUGGCGGCUAUGAUUGCAGGUAUCCCGCGCCUUGCAGAAGUUCAGGGCGACGCACAAGAAGGGCUUCCAUAUGGUCCAUUGUUGGGAGCUGCUCAAAGACAACAACAAGUGGAUGAUAAGCUUUGCGGCCUACAACGAAGCUGUGAGGAAUGGGACAGUGGUCAACCUCGACGAAGAAGACGACGAUCAAGGUCGUCCAGUCCUUCCACCUCGUCCACGAGGCCACAAGGCUACCAAGGCCGAUCUCGUCCGGGAGGCGCAGGCCAUUGCUUUCACGCAGAGCAUGGAGAAGAUAAUGGCCGACAACCAUGCCGCCAUGGCUGCUAGGGACGAGAAGAGGCGUCUGGAAAAAGAGGCCGCAGCUGCCAUCUACCAGAACCUCGCCAAGGAGGUCCUCGAUGUCCAAAGGCUGGACAUCGAGGCCAAAAAGGCAGACGCCGAGGCCAAAUUGCGUGCAGAAGACACAAGGAUCAUGCUUGCCGACUUGAGCGGCGUCGACGACGACACCAGGGCAUGGUUCAUGAAGAGCCGCGCCGAAAUCCGCGCGCGAGACGCCUGAUCGCCGGCGCCGGCGCCAUGCGCCCAGCACCUUGGCCUCCUUUUGAACUUUUUUUUAUUGCUGUUCAGGCCUUGUUGUGCCCCUUUUGCUCCACUUUGCGCCGUACGAGCUGCAAAGUGUGAUGAACUUGUUUCAGCCUUCAAUUUGCGGCUGUAAUUUCGUGCAAAGUCGACGCUAUUUCAUCGUUUUUUGAAUUCUGGCUGCGCCCAAAAUGCGUCGCCCCGCUGGAGCCAACCCCAUACGCAAACGGACACACGAUCAUUUCCCCGUCCGCCAGGCGACGCAAACGGACGCCCGCGGACAAUUUGGACGUCCGAAAUGCGUCGCGCCUCCGGAGAUGCCCUAAGCCCGCCUCCGACCGGCUGCAAAUCCCAGCGCUCCGCCAUGCCUUCCACGCGCAUGCCCCCUGCUCCACAUCCGUCUGACUUCCUCUCCAGAGACGGCCCUCUGUUGCUUACCCACCCCGUGCUCCCUAUUCACAAUCAAAGACUAGCUCGCUGUGCUCUGCCCCAUGUCCGGCGCAAAGCGGCAUCGACCUCGCCUUGUACAUGACGGGCGGGCCUCCCUCUGUAUCCUCACAGGGACGCUGCUCAUCCAAACAUUAGAGAGUCUGGCUUCUGCUGGGUUGCAAAUCCUGCCGACCUUGGGGAAUCGCUGACAAAAACAAGCCGUGAUGAUGCGCUCUCAUCAAAUUAACGUUGCUCUGCCUCUGCGGACAAGAUGAUAUUGAAGCAGUAGUGCAUCACCGAUUAUGCGCUUGAGGAAAGUCUGGUUUGAGACAUGAUAAAUUCAGAGAAACUAGGCAUCAGUUUCGGGAGUGAUCCACUACCAUGGAGGAAAGGUGAUGUAUUAGGCAUGUGUUCUAUAUUCUAUAUCUGGCCUUCGAGUCCAUUGGCACCAACGCUGCCGAGCGGUGGACACCCGCGUUUCACUUCUGCAUCGACGCUACGCUCUGCUCCACGCUUCACUUGCCGCAGGGGAGCUCCGCGAGGUCCAGAAUGAAUAUUGCUCCUAUGAUGCAACAGCGAGAGGCAUGGACGUCCGUCCAAAUGGACUCCUUCCUUAACAUGGUGCGCAAGUGCAAAGAGACGGAGAACUCCAAUUGUCCAUAAGGGUCUUGAGGGCAGCAGAAAGAAACUUGAGCGCGCAGAAGAGAGAUACUUGAGCGCGCAGAAGAGGAAGAUGAGUCACACGCCGAUGCUACAUCGACGAGUAAGGUGGCAGUGGCUACAUCUACAAGUCAACAACCAUCGCCACCAAAUGCCUUCUGUGACACUGCACCAACUCGCCUAUGCAUAGACCAGACCCACUUUGACUCUUCGCCCAUUUUAUUUUCACCAUCUUCUCUAUCGCUGGUAUUUUCCCCUGCCAGAUGUAUUUGCACGCUUAAGCAGACCGGGUUUUUUGUUGAAGGUUCCCUUGUUGAUUAAAUGGACCUGGAAAAUAUGGCUCUUAUUAUUCUUUGAACUAUCGCUUCUGUUAUCCAAGCAACUCCAUGGUUGUUGGUGUUGCUCUCUUUUCUAGCCAGGUUCACCCUUAAGAAGACUCCACGGUGGACAUACACUUUGAAGCAUAUUACAGAAUCGGAGCUAAUAUAAUCACGCACCACUAUCAUGACUAAAAUCUCUCCUUGAUUACAAAUGUUUAUCUUCAGUACUAACCUUUUUUGUGACGUUUUCAGGGACUAUGAAAAGAUCCUCAUGACCUCACACUCAACAACUAUUGAGAACAAGUUGAAGGCAUAAUAAGUAUUGUAGAAAGCUAGGAGGAGUCACCCCGCUCCCAUCUGCAACCAGAAUCUGCCAAUAAAUGUGUAUUUCUAGGAUUUUUUUGCGUUUGGAAGUUGUCUGUUAUUUUUUGCUUUCAGAGUGUGUAAACGGUUUGAAAACUUGCAAUAGUUGCUACGAUUUUUUGGUCACAUGUC